Molecule: ribosomal RNA, 492 nt
Filed under: uncultured bacterium
Lineage: Bacteria
Description: partial 16S ribosomal RNA
Rfam family: Bacterial small subunit ribosomal RNA
Source: RNAcentral
AGUGAGCGCUGGCGGUAGGCCUAACACAUGCAAGUCGAACGGCAGCACAGUAAGAGCUUGCUCUUACGGGUUGCGAGUCGCGGAUGGGUCAGGAAUACAUCGGACUCUACUUUUUCGUGUGGGAUAACGUAGGGAAACUUACGAUCAUACCGCAUAUGCCCUACGGGUGCAAGCAGGGGCUCUUCGGACCUUGCGCGAUUGUAUGCGCCGAUGUCGGAUUAGUUAGUUGGCUGGGUAAAUGCCCACCAAGGCGACGAUCCGUAGCUGGUCUGAUAGGAUGAUCAGCCACACGGGAACUGAGACAGGGUCCAGACGCCUAAGAGAGGCAGCAGUGGGGAAUAUUGGACAAUGGGCGCGAGCCUGGUCCAGCCAGACCGCGCGUGAGAAAAAGGCGUUCGGGUUGUAAAGCCCUGUUGUUGGGAAUGAAAAGCAGCAGGUUAAUACCCCGCUGUUCUGACGGUACCCAAAGAAGAAGCACCGGCUAACUACGUG